Molecule: ribosomal RNA, 497 nt
Filed under: uncultured bacterium
Lineage: Bacteria
Description: partial 16S ribosomal RNA
Rfam family: Bacterial small subunit ribosomal RNA
Source: RNAcentral
GACGAACGCUGGCGGCGUGCCUAAUACAUGCAAGUAGAACGCUGAAGGACGGAGCUUGCUCUUUCUGGAUGAGUUGCGAACGGGUGAGUAACGCGUAGGUAACCUGCCUGGUAGCGGGGGAUAACUAUUGGAAACGAUAGCUAAUACCGCAUAAAAUUGAUUAUUGCAUGAUAGUCAAUUAAAAGGUGCAACUGCACCACUAACAGAUGGACCUGCGUUGUAUUAGCUAGUUGGUGGGGUAACGGCUCACCAAGGCGACGAUACAUAGCCGACCUGAGAGGGUGAUCGGCCACACUGGGACUGAGACACGGCCCAGACUCCUACGGGAGGCAGCAGUAGGGAAUCUUCGGCAAUGGACGGAAGUCUGACCGAGCAACGCCGCGUGAGUGAAGAAGGUUUUCGGAUCGUAAAGCUCUGUCGUAAGAGAAGAACGAGUGUGAGAGUGGAAAGUUCACACUGUGACGGUAUCUUACCAGAAAGGAACGGCUAACUACGUG